CACUUCCAUUUAGAAUCCACACAUGUUAUUUUAUACCCCACCUUAUCCCCAGUUGUGAAAGCUACGGGCAUCACCAUGUUGCAUGAUCAGUCUAGAGAUAUACAACGAAAUGCCCAUUUGCUGUAGAAAUGAUCAGACACUAUAAGUUGCUAAAGACAGAAGCAAAACAUGGCUCCUGCUGCCUCUUGGGUGACACCAAGGACCAGAAUUCAAACAUGGUUUGAGAGCUGGGGACUGUCACGGGACGGCAAGCACUUCUUCGACCCAUCCUGAAUCAGCAUCGGCAAAUCUGUGCGAUGCAGACACUGCGAUUGCACACCCAUGUGCUGCAGAAGAUGCAUAUCUUGCAGAGUCCAUGCAUGGGCUUGUCAUCCCUUGGGUGUCCAGUUCGAGGGACCCCACAUGACGCCGAUGAACGCCGCUGGAAGCAAACCACCAUGACAAGUUUCAGUUUCAGAUGUAGUUACAAUCAGCGUUGGAGGAAGUGGUGUAGACGACGCGAUCAAGCUGGCUCUGCAGAUUCCACUGCCGGUGGAACUCGUUGCGGCGAAACUGUUUCGUGAACUGGCAAGCUCUCAGAAAAUCCGUGUGCUUGGGAUCCAGUUUGCAGGCCAGCAUUUCACUUGUGACCGAGACACUGUUUCGAGGAAACCGAGGUGCUCGAAGCGCUGCGAGACAAGUCCGCGGCUUGGAAUGAACUCAACUUUGUUUAUCCUCAGUCUUUGUAGAGGAUCCUCUUGCAGAAUUCUCGAUAGGUGUUGGCUCGUGUCAUGUGCAUAAUACAUGAUCUUUAAGUGCUUCCUCCCAUGCUUAAACAGUUCGUUGAUUGCUGGGUUGUACCUUGCAUGUGUUUGGUAUUCUAAAUCUAUAAAAGGUGCAAGCACAGCCAGAUGUGCAAAUUGGUGCAGAUAUGCUCCAAGAGCAACUGAUAUAUGUCUUGAUGUCCCAUUUCCAAUCUAUCAGCUCGACGUGGUCAUCUUCAAGCACGAGCUAAAGCUGGACUGUACCCAUGUGGUCACUUUAGCAGCUCCCACACCUUAUUGUGACAGACUAGACACAAUGCAUAAUCCACACAAAAGCUUGUCUGCUCAGUCAAACACGCUAAUGAAAUAACUUAUUUGCCACAAGGAAAUUUGCUAGAGUGACGUUGAAGCUUGGAAUGCCGAGGUAAUGUGGGGCCACUGCUCUAACUUGAUGACGUCAUUUGAGAAUAAUCAUGUCAUGGUGGUUAUUAACUUCAAUCUUCAAUAUAUUUGUCGGAGACCUGUUUAACGGUUAUAUGUGAGGAUCUCCCACAAAGGUUCAUCUCAUUACACUGAUCUUUCCCGGAGUUCUUGUUCGCUGUGUCUUCCUUCAUCCGUCUCGGUGGGGUUCAGUAGGGCGAGGCGUCAUCCGCAGCAGCCGACUCCUUUCGAACAGUUUACACAGAGCACGGCCAUUCGGUCGCUUGCAGUCGUGACCAUACUUCCGUUUGCAGUUACAUCUGCUGCCACAACUACCGACACUUUCAAGAAUGGCGGAGGCGAGAUCCGGCGCAGAUACUUUGUCGGUAGUCCGAGCACAAGUUCUCAGGAUUGACACAGCACCUCCUCACGCACCAUGACCAAUCACUAUAGAUGGUGAUCUCCAGAUUUCGUCAUGGGGACGCAUUCUCCGCUCAUCACACCCGAGACCAAUGCUAAACCUGGCAUUCAAUAUUCUACGGCAUGUGACCUAAAUGACUAAAAACGACGAAACAGUUACUCUGCUCUGCGGCGGCGGCACACUAAGCACCAUAAGAAUGUAUUAUUGAAAGACAUAACUACCUGUAAUCCUGAGUUGUACACCUUGUUGUUCUUAUACUGUUAUUAACAGCCACCUGUGCUCACGGUGUUGAAUAUCUAAAUGUUCCAGGAACAGAUUUGGUUUAUAUAUUAUGUGCUAUUUCAUGCUACUGUGGAUCCAGCAAAUUGGACUGUGACCUGGUUCAAAUGAGCUGUUUGAACCAUUCCAUGUCUCUCAAGCUAUUAUACGCGUCACCAUAUUUGAGCUGGGGAGGCAGAUGUUAGUUCUCCAAGUGCAUUUGGGACUGAGCUAUAAAAGGACUUGGACUACAUUGAGUCUUUGCCUUGUCUACAUUGUUUCUAUCAAUCAGUUGUGACGGUGGUGAGUAUUUCCAAGUCUAUUCUAUGAAGGCCCUCAGUCAGCACCACUCUAUGCACGUAACUAGAUUAUAUCAGAAUUUUUAGGUGAAUUUGAAACUGAGUCUUGCUUGACCAGACUCAAAAAUAAGAAUAAUCCAUUCGCUGUAACUUUACCUUGCAUUUAAGAAUCUGAGCUGUGCAUGGACAGAAAUUUAAUUUUA
Long non-coding RNA from Physcomitrium patens, 2344 nucleotides. RefSeq lists it as uncharacterized. NCBI's taxonomy places the organism in Eukaryota, Viridiplantae, Streptophyta, Bryopsida, Funariales, Funariaceae. The record is from RefSeq and is a predicted model, not a curated record.